This 2854-nucleotide long non-coding RNA is filed under the name Anas platyrhynchos platyrhynchos (common mallard). RNAcentral's name for it is "lncRNA (ENSAPLG00000022248.1)". The record is from RNAcentral. Lineage: Eukaryota; Metazoa; Chordata; Aves; Anseriformes; Anatidae.
CACAGGACUUAAUGGACCUAAAUUUCUGGAAGAAACAGGUAGAUAUUAGGAAAACGUUUUCCAACACAAAAAUACAGUAGAUGAGACUUUCUGGUCAGGAUCUGAGUCUCCGUGGCUGGUCUUUAAUAGCAGGUCAGGCAAAUAUUGAUCAGUUAUGACCCUGGCAAAACCACCGUGAUGCCAGAGCUGGCUGUGUGACUGCUGAAGGCAGCCUCGUCAGGGCCCUGGGAAGUGUGAGGGGGCUGCACGUGGGGCACCAACCCCAGGCAGCGCUACAGGCUUGGGGCAGAGUGGCUGGAAAGCUGUGCAGAGGAAAAGGAUCUGAGGGUGCUGACUGAUGCUCGCCUGAACACGAGCCAGCAGCGUGCCCAGGUGGCCAAGAAGGCCAGCGGCAUCCUGGCUUGUGUCAGGAAUGGUGCAGCCAGCAGGAGCAGGGAGGUGAUCGUCCCCCUGUGCUCUGCUCUGGUGAGGCCGCACCUCGAGCACUGUGUUCAGCUUUGGGCCCCUCACUACCAGAAGGACAUCAAGGCCCUGGAGUGUGUCCAGAGCAGGGCUAUGAAGCUGGAGGUGUUUAAAAGAUAUUGAAAUCAUGUCACUAAGCUCUGCAUCUAGGGGAGGGCUGGUUAGUGUUAGGUCAGAGGUUGGACUAGGUGAUCUGGGAGGUCUCUUCCAACCUAAAUGAUUCGGUGGAAGAUUAAGCGAUAUGAUUUUAUAGGCUAAAGAACCAUUGAAAAGAGAAAGAGGUGGGUAAGCUUUUCAAAUCAAUGCUGAACAAUUAAAGCGUUCUGAUUAUGGAUGGGUUUGCAUUGACCACUUGUCCCUUUUAUGUAUAUGUUCUCAUAGGGUUUUAGAAGCAUCAUCAUGUUUUGUGGUUUUUUUUUUUUUCCCCUCUUAGGAUCCCCUUCUCAGCCUAGGCAGAGAGUGCACUUGCCGAACUGGUGUUUGUUCACUGUUGGUUGUGCUUCUCAGAAUCAGUCCCUGUACGUUUUCUACUGCACACUGUCUGUAUCUUGCUCUGAAGAUUCCACAGUAAGAACAGGAUCUGAUCCGUGUGGAGAUGAAUCUGCUUGCUCUCCACCCAGGACUGCCCAGGACCUCCUGCGGCAGGCUGUCUCGUGUGUUUAGGCACAACCUGACACAGUUCAGGAACACAGAAAUGGACUAGCAACAGAAACAGACCUGUGAGGACUUGAGACUUGUGUCCACCCUUCGAAGCCUUGCUACCAGUACUAGUCAUUAACAAAUUAUAAACUAUGAUACGCUGGAGCUUGAAUGUUGAUCUUGUGCAUCUCUUUGUAUAGUAGAAGGCCCAAGUCCGCAGUAGGCUCCCUUGAGGUAUAGUCUGAUGGGUAAUAUGCUGUUUGCCAUUUUUCUGCCUUGGAGCGGAGCGGGUCAGAUGACUGCUUCCCAUCUCAAUUUUCCAUGCUGUGGGGUUGAUGAGACCUUACCUUUGUGAGACAAUUUAGACUUUAAAUGCUCUGCAUUAUAAUAAUAAGGAGCCAAAGUGCGUUAUAGUGCUUCUUGUCUGCCUUUGUUAUUAAAUCAGUUGCUGGGAGGCCAAAGUGAGCUUCUGAUUUUAAUGUUGUGCUGCUAAACUUCGACAUUACCUCCUCCUUCCUUUUUUUUUUUUUCCUGGUUAAGAGUGGAAAUGUGUCCAAAUCCACUCCAAAAAUAGCACCUUGAAUUUAAAACUUGAUUUACCUUUCCAUUUUGAAGAGUACGCGCAGCACUUGCAGCCUGAUCUUUCUAUUCCUUUCAAUCUAACCACAAGCCUUUUAUCUGUGAAUGCAUUUUAAUUACAGUGGAAAUAAGAGGCUUUAGGAGGUGAAACUGCUGUCAUUUCAGCCACAUUCACCUGCCUGGUGCAGCACGCAGAGAAUAUCCUUGUCAAGAGGAAGCUUUGCUCUUGGAAUUGAUUUAUAAAUAGACUUCCAGGAUGUGAACCUCCCAUAUACUUUGAGGAAAUUGGCAUACACCUGAGCUGCACUGAAAGAUGGCCUUGCCGUGAAUUUCUUAUGACUCCGUAGACACGUUUUUUGGACUUUCAAUAGAAAACUCCGUGAGUAAUGGGUGCGUAGCUGAGUAAUGAACAACUGUGUUAAUUUUCUGGUAGGAAAGCCACAGCAUAUGAAGACCUUGGCUCUUUAUGUGAGCUGCCAUUCCACAUAAACUUUUACAGGUACUGGUCGCACUGUUAAGUUUCCAUACAUGCUUGAACACAUAAGUUUUUCCUUGUGGAGGAAUCCUUGGUCUUUUUAGUUCAUCACCCCUGUAUAACAAGUGCUAAUAGCACUCAGUCAUUUCACAGGUGUGUCACAAGGACAUAUAUCAGAGGCAUUUGGUUAUAGGGCUGGGAGUGCAUGCAUUCCUUUGUACAGCAGGGUGACAGUGUACGUGGAUGGAAGACACUGAUCAUUCUCAGGAUCUGGGCCAAGGCUUGGCAUAGAGGUGGACUCCAGCUCUCUGUAGUGAUCCUGCUGUGGGAUGAACACUUGAGAAAGUUGUGACUGGGAGAAGGUGGCAUUUUUGUCCUUUAACAGCUCCUCCUUCCAAAAGCAUCCUGCCUUUUCAGCUGUAGUGAAACCAGGAGUCUGGGAGCACUGGAAGCCCUGUGGUCCCUGCUCCGAGGAGGCUUCAGUUGCUGAAUUCUCAGUGGAGUAGUGGAAGUUUGGGCUGGAUUUGGAGUAGAGCUGUUUUCCAGUCGUUCAUCUAUCUCUGAAGGGUGACAGGGUAGAGACUUCAGGAUUAACGAAUCCAGUUUGGAACUUAAAGUUGAUACCAUUUUGUUCAAAUACUUGGAUUAUGUGUUUUUUCUCUAAAUAAAGUAUAUGUUUCUUGUUGAUACUUUGAAAAA